UACGAAGGGGGCUAGCGUUGCUCGGAAUCACUGGGCGUAAAGGAUGCGUAGGCGGACAUUUAAGUCAGAUGUGAAAUACCCGAGCUUAACUUGGGAACUGCCAUUGAUACUAUCGAUCUUGAAUACUGUGGAGGUAAGCGGAAUAUAUCAUGUAGCGGUGAAAUGCUUAGAUAUGAUAUAGAACACCAAUAGCGAAGGCAGCUUACUACGCAGUUAUUGACACUGAGGCUCGAAAGCGUGGGGAUCAAACAGG
This 253-nucleotide ribosomal RNA is filed under the name uncultured bacterium. Its description in RNAcentral is "partial 16S ribosomal RNA". It matches the Rfam family "Bacterial small subunit ribosomal RNA", at positions 524 to 776 of the family's 1533-position model. The record is from RNAcentral.